Molecule: unclassified non-coding RNA, 198 nt
Filed under: Homo sapiens (human)
Lineage: Eukaryota; Metazoa; Chordata; Mammalia; Primates; Hominidae
Description: S-antigen visual arrestin (ENSG00000281857.3)
Source: RNAcentral
CAGCGGUGCCCCUUCAGGCUCAUCUGGCAAGACGGUACCAGCUUGCUCAGAACAGGGGCUGGCUAUUCAUCAUCUCAGAGCAUAGAGACCCUCUCCUUGCCACCCGGCCCUUCCCACCUGGUUGGUGACAAAUCACAAGUUUCCUGACUACUUGCCCUGUUCAGUGAUGUUGCAGCCAGCUCCACAAGAUUCAGGGAA